RNAcentral lists this ribosomal RNA (496 nucleotides) under uncultured bacterium. Its description in RNAcentral is "partial 16S ribosomal RNA". It matches the Rfam family "Bacterial small subunit ribosomal RNA", at positions 29 to 507 of the family's 1533-position model. The record is from RNAcentral.
AUGAACGCUGGCGGCGUGCCUAAUCCAUGCAAGUCGAGCGAACGGACGAGAAGCUUGCUUCUCUGAUGUUAGCGGCGGACGGGUGAGUAACACGUGGAUAACCUACCUAUAAGACUGGGAUAACUUCGGGAAACCGGAGCUAAUACCGGAUAAUAUUUUGAACCGCAUGGUUCAAAAGUGAAAGACGGUCUUGCUGUCACUUAUAGAUGGAUCCGCGCUGCAUUAGCUAGUUGGUAAGGUAACGGCUUACCAAGGCAACGAUGCAUAGCCGACCUGAGAGGGUGAUCGGCCACACUGGAACUGAGACCCGGUCCAGACUCCUACGGGAGGCAGCCGUAGGGAAUCUUCCGCAAUGGGCGAAAGCCUGACGGAGCAACGCCGCGUGAGUGAUGGAGGUCUUCGGAUCGUAAAACUCUGUUAUUAGGGAAGAACAUAUGUGUAAGGAACUGUGCACAUCUUGACGGUACCUAAUCAGAAAGCCACGGCUAACUACGUG